GGAAUCUUGCGCAAUGGGCGAAAGCCUGACGCAGCGACGCCGCGUGAGCGAUGAAGGCCUUCGGGUUGUAAAGCUCUGUGGGGAGGGAAGAAUAAGCCUAGGCGACUAGCUCUAGGUGAUGACGGUACCUCCUUAGCAAGCACCGGCUAACUCUGUGCCACCAGCCGCGGUAAGACAGAGGGUGCAAACGUUGGUAGGAAUUACUGGGCGUAAAGCGCGUGUAGGCGGCUGUGCAAGUCGGGCGUGAAAGCCCACGGCUCAACCGUGGAAGUGCACUCGAAACUGCGUAGCUAGAGUCCCGGAGAGGAAGGUGGAAUACUUGGUGUAGAGGUGAAAUUCGUAGAUAUCAAGUGGAACACCGGUGGUGAAGGCGGCCUUCUGGACGGUGACUGACGCUGAGACGCGAAAGCGUGGGGAGCAAAC
This 423-nucleotide ribosomal RNA is filed under the name uncultured bacterium. RNAcentral describes it as "bacterial SSU rRNA". It matches the Rfam family "Bacterial small subunit ribosomal RNA", at positions 358 to 773 of the family's 1533-position model. The record is from RNAcentral.